AUUGGAAAGACCACCAUAGCUGAAGUUCUAGUUAGUCGAAUAUCUAAUCAAUUUGAUCAUAUUUGCUUUCUUCGCAAUGUCAGGGAAAAAUCAGAAAAAAAUGGGCUAGAUGAUUUAAGAAAACUCUUUUUUUCCAAACUCCUAGGGAUUGAAAUUAGAGAUAUAGAAAUGGUUAUAGAAAUGGUAAGUGUGGUACCCACUUUUAUUAAGGAUUCACUUAAGAGAAAGAAAGUUCUUGUUGUUCUUGAUGAUGUUAAUGAGCCAGAACAACUAGAAGCUUUAGCUGUAAAUGAUGAUGAUUGUUUUGGGUCGGAAAGUAAAAUCAUUUUAAUAAGCAGAGACAAACAAGUCCUAAAAUUGUAUGUUCUUUUGUAAGAAACCAAGAAAGAAUCAAGAAAUUAGAGAGGAAUAUAGGUCCUUUUGUAAGACUCUACAAAGGAAACAAAAGAUUAGAGCAGAAAUGUAAGUCUUUUUGUAAGACUAGAAUAUAGGUUCUUUU
This 499-nucleotide unclassified non-coding RNA is filed under the name Hevea brasiliensis (rubber tree). The record is from RNAcentral. Lineage: Eukaryota; Viridiplantae; Streptophyta; Magnoliopsida; Malpighiales; Euphorbiaceae.